This 253-nucleotide ribosomal RNA is filed under the name uncultured bacterium. RNAcentral describes it as "partial 16S ribosomal RNA". It matches the Rfam family "Bacterial small subunit ribosomal RNA", at positions 524 to 776 of the family's 1533-position model. The record is from RNAcentral.
UACGUAGGGUGCAAGCGUUGUCCGGAAUUAUUGGGCGUAAAGAGCUCGUAGGCGGUUUGUCGCGUCUGCUGUGAAAACUGGAGGCUCAACCUCCAGCUUGCAGUGGGUACGGGCAGACUAGAGUGCGGUAGGGGAGAUUGGAAUUCCUGGUGUAGCGGUGGAAUGCGCAGAUAUCAGGAGGAACACCGAUGGCGAAGGCAGAUCUCUGGGCCGUAACUGACGCUGAGGAGCGAAAGCGUGGGGAGCGAACAGG